UCCUUAUAUUUGUGUCUUUCAGAGUCACAUUUUCAUUUCACCAUACCAGUUAGCAAAAAACACAUGAACCCAGAUGUCCCUGAAGAUGUGACUUUGAGGAAAAAAACAAGAGGGGGAGAUGAGUGACAAAACUCUGUUUACCUACAGCUCUGGAGUGAGGCUGCUGAUUGUGCAGUCCUGGAUUCCUGGUGUGGAAGGAAAGUGUGGGUGUUUGGUUGCCACAUCCUGGGAGUGAGGUAGAGGUAAGGACAAGCACACUCAUGUCUCAUUCUAGCACAGAAUGGAGUCAUGGCCAGGUUGAACAUAUGGCCUCAGAAGUGAGUUGGAGUCCUGAGAAAGAUAUAAUCCAGGAUCAGGAACCCUUGCCACCUGGGUUCAGAUGACGCCUAGAGUUAGGAAUUAAAGGGUAUGUGAUGGCCUGCAAUAAAGUAUUUUUCAGGUUCUGUUUUGUCUGCAGGCUCAUCUCACCUGAGAUGAGGUAUUGGAGCAGUACGAGCACAUCUUGAGCCUAGGGGAUGGACCUUUGCCUGGAUCUAAUCUAGAGUUAAAUCAGAACACUGCAUCCUUGACCCUGCUCCAUACACCUGGCUUUAGUGGGUACAGUUCUCAAAUGAGAAAAUGAAAGAAUGUGGAACAGAAAUGUCAGACUUUCUUGGGAAAUACAUGUCUAACAGUAUGUAAGAGGUUAGUAUUAUUUUAAUUUCAACAAUCCUAGAUGGAUUUUCCUUGGUUAGGUUAAGAAGUGAAUAUAGGUAUUUCCCAAUUCCCUUUACCUGAUUCAAGUGCCUUGAGGAUUACGUAAAAUAUCAGGAGUACUGUGUUCCAGGUUGGUUAAAUAUUGCUCUGGUUCUAGUUAUAUUCUUCCAUAUCCUACCAGCAGGAAAAUUUACUCCAGAAGAGAAUGAACAAAACAGGAGAGAAGGAACUUACUUAUUGCCCAGUAUAUACCUUGCCUAUCUCCUUUUAUUUUUAUUUUAAAGGAGUAGUAUGGUAUAGAGUGACAUCCACUUUGAAAAUAUUUUCCCAUCACUGCUCUACCAGCUCUAAAAGUGUCUUUUGUUUGGAUGUUGUUAUUAUCUGCUAGACACUGAUAGGAAUGUGGAGUCGCUCAGUGAGAAAGGGAAACAUGGUUCUCAUUCAGAAGGAAUGCAGCUUCAUCCACACAGUUUACAGCACAGUUGUAUUUGAAGUUGAGCCACAGGAUCUUGUGGCAAUAAAAAACAUUGUGAUUUAUAGGAAAGUGUCACUCUGGCUGUCUCCUUUAUAAAAUCUUUUUACUACUCUUGUUGAAUAUAAAUCAGAAUUAUGUGGCCAACAGUAUGAUGGUUUUGGCAAAAUGUUGUGAAGACAAAAAAUAAUCAGGUUUGAAUUGUCUUGGCCUUAUUCUGCAGAGAGAUAUUAUUGGAAUUUAUUGACUUGCCAAGAUCAAUAUCCUUGUCUUUAAAAAUAUCUGUGUGUAUGUCUAAAUUAAUAUCCAAAUUAAUUAAAGGAUGUUCACCAUGAAGUUUACCUUCAAAUCACAAUAACAGUAGAUCUUAACUGCUUGAAAUAAAGGUGACAGAAUUUCAAAAUCCCACACUGUCCAUAUUUGUAGCACUAGACUUCAGAGUCUUUGGGGGGGGUUGUCUCUUUCCAGGGCUUAAUGUGAUGUGUCUCAGCAUAUUUGAUUGAAAGUUAUCAAACUUCAUCCAGGAAUUUUAGUAGGAGAUAAACCUCUCUUCCCACACUGUAUAUUAGUUCAAUUUCUAAGGAAAAACAUGUGUGUGACAAGAAGUAAAUGAUCAAUUAAUCAUUUGUCACAGUUCAGUUUCUGCCUUUGCAGUGAAGCCAGUAGAGAAAGGGAGUGUUAGAGGAAGGUGCAGGAGGCCAGAAGACACCAAAGAGAGGUGACCAGAAUUCGAGACCAGUCCUGCACCACCUCUCUCAAAGCCACAGUGUUAAACAAGGGUUGCCAGCCAGUGCCAUUUUAGCCACGUGUAGUUCAUGAGUGUAUAGCCAGUGUGGUGGCUUGAAUUUGGCUGUGGACAGACUCAGGCCGUGGUGACAGUAUCUCCAGUCUGCCCUAAGAUCCAAGCAAAGUCCCAGCUCUAGCCCAUUCCUGAGCAGAGCAGAAGGAUUCAUGGAGACCCAGGGACACCUCUUGAGUCCUCUGGGGGAUGGUGGAUCUUGGUCAAAUGAGGAUAGAGAGCAAAAGGAUUAAUUUCACCAUCACUUGCUCUACCAGCACUUACAGCUGGAUGUAAAUAGUGUUUGGAGAAACUCUGUGCUUGCACCAUACAGGAGACUGGGUUAGACAGAGGUUGUAACCCUCCCUUCUCGCCUUUAUGAAUUUAUGAGUUCACAGAUCCUUCCCUGUAUUAAAAGACCUCUACUGCUGGUAGCUGAGCAUCUGUGCGUGUCAUCUGUUUGUAAUUAGCUGUACAGCAAUUGGAACAGGCAGCACUCUCCUGACCCAUAAAUUAUUCAGCAUACCCAGUUCAGAGUGGUGCCCUGGUCAGAGGCACCAGCUGAGAUGCACAAACCACAGAAGAGCUUGGAUAUGCAGUGGAAGGACUGAAGGGACUCAGCUGUCUUACGCAGCCAGCUCCUUGUCUCUUGCAAGUCCACAUUUCAAAGAAUAUUGAGCGAUAAUGCACAGGGGUAUAGAGGGCAAAAUAAUCCAUCCCUUGCUUCUGCAUCAAUGUCAAUACUUUUCUAAAAAGUGAGAUGUAAGGAGAAGCCUAAAGCUGGGCGUAACCUUGUUCUAAGGUUUUAUUCUUUGAUGGAAAAAUUAUCAUAUAGGCAAAAAUAGUUGAAAUAGCACUCAAAUGGAGCUCACAAAUGGAACAAAGAAUAUUUCUAUGUCAAGUCAUAAAUAAAAAUGGACUACAGGAUGAUUUAAUCACAACUGCUUACUGACUGCAGAAACCAGAGUUGAUACAGAUUUCAGAAAUAUUCAGAAAUAUGAAUAUAUAAGGUAAUGACCCCGAUGUACUUUUAUUCCAUUCUAUUUUCUGUGCAUCAAAAAUGCGGGUAUAUCUCUAUGAAGAGUCAUUUUGGCAUGCUUGAAGUAUACUGGUCUGUUUUGACCACUCUGCUGAGUAUUUAGGAUUAAGGGAUACAGAUUUCUGACUUCUGAAUUAGAGGUAUGUUUUCUGAUAUAUUAUAUUAUAUUUCUCCCUCAGUCUUCCCAUUUGUGCAGUGGAGGUAAAGCUAUCUACUUUCUUUCUUCAAGGAAGCACUGGUGGGAUUAACGUAUUUAUUUAGGAUUUUAAAAAUGGAAAAGGUCAGACAAGCACAAAUUGAAUUUAUUAUAACUAUGCAUUUCUUGCCUUACAUAUACAGUGAAAGGUGUUUCCCUUUGCCUCAAUUAUCAGAAGAUUGCAACAGCCCAGAACAUUCAGCAAAAGCAAUCGCAGAUGUUGACUACACCCACAUAUUUCUGAAGCUUUUGGUGAUAAGCACGCAGGCUGCAUACUACAGGAAUAAGCAUGUACUGAUUCACAUAGAAAAUGAAAAUACAGCAAUUUAAACUAACCGCUGAUGAAUUGUGUCUAUCCCCCUCUAGCUAUUUGCUUCAAUAAAAAAAAAAAUUAAAAAAUCAGUACUUUAGCUUCUUCCUACACAAGAUGAUAAGCUUUCAUUCCUCUUUCUUCUAUUACGCCAAUGUGUCAAAAAUGGCAAUGUGGUAUCUUUCAAAGUCACUUCAGUAAGAUCAGAUAUUGAAGAUCAAAGUGAGAAAGAAAUUGGAAUAAAACUCACAUUGACAUUUGAAUAAUACAGAGAAGUUUAAAUGUUAAAACUCUUAAACACCUGGGGGGUUAUAGUUAGCUACUAUAUUUUUCUGUAUACACAGUUUGUUAGCCAAUACUUCUGGCAGAAUGGGAAGUAGGAAAAUGGAAAAAACUAUUAUAUUAUGGGGAAAUAUUAUAAUAAUUUACUUAAUCUUUCAGAGACACGUUCAUGCUCAAAAAUGCAGUGCGAUACAUGUGAUAGUUUAAUAUGAGGACACAAAAUUUUUAAAUUCUGGUUUGUAAACUCCAGCUUUUCAAAUAGAGAGCUUUAAGUCUCCAGGCAAGUAGAUUUCACUGGUUUGGAGGAAUUUGUAGUUCUAAGACUCUGAAAUUAAGAAUGUAUAUUUAAUUAAUAAUUAAUUCCCAGAUUUAGGAAGAAAAUGUUACUCACUAAAAUAGAAAAACACUUGACCAUAAACUAAAUGCAUCUUGUUGUUUUCUCUAUAACUGUUCUUGGUUUCAAGCCCUGUCAGUGACAAAGCCACAUGAAAACUGUAACUAAAAUAAGCUUUCCAAGCCAGUAGUUUUGCAAUCACUGAGUCGUUAUUCUGCGGAUGCGUAGCCAGGCCCCAGGUUCUUGUAGUUAGCCACAGCCCUGGCUGAGCCCCUGUCUUUGCCCUGGGCAUUUAUUAAUCUGUUUUGGGCACACAGUUACAUUCCUUAUGUUUUAAACUUCUCCAAGUAUCACAACCAAGCACUGGCUUUAGUUUGUGGUUGCUGGUGCAAUGUAGAACCUCUUUUUCUUCCUUCUGAGGAUGGAAAGCCCAAGAGUGAUCCAUUUGCAUGAACAAUGUCUAUUGUGUAGAGGAAUGUGAUAACAGAAACAAAUGAAUUUAGCAAAAUUACUGCUUUGACUAGCAAAAGAAAUGUACAUAUACUGAUAAAAUAAUAAAUGCACAGAUGCCUUUACCGGUCUUGUUUCUUUACAUUUGGAGAGCGUUCUGGGAUUUUGAAUGAAGAGACACUAUAGGGCUCAGAGUCCCUCCCCUUCACAAUGUCUGCUAUAAAUGGAUUUUCUGGUAACAACCUUGAACCUUGCUUUAAAAGGGCACAUGAAGGUUAUUUUAGAAAGUUCCUCUCAUGUCUACAUCAAUAUUAUACCUUAGCUAUCGAGUCUUGAAACAAGUCUGUGCUUCCAAAGCUACUAAUUCUUACAUAUUUAUGUAUAUGUAGAGAUACCCAUAUUUAUAUUUAUAUCUAUAUACACUGCUUUUAAUUUACUCUGGAUGGGCUGAUGCCCACUACCUUGAAUAUAUCUGAAAGCAGAGCAAAUGGCCAGGGCCUGUCCUAUUUGAAAAAAAUCCAAUUAAUUACCUCAGAAAGAACUCUGAAAUACUCCUGAGUGCAAUUAAUGUGGAGGGCUGUUGAGUUUGGCCUAAAGCUUGGCCUUAAGACUUCUCUUGUACAACAGAACAGAUGUAAUCAAUAAGUCUGUUAAUAGGUCAGAAACUUAAGUGCUUCAUGUUUAAGGAAAUGGUAGAAGAAACAGUGAGAAUGUAGUCUGUCAAGACACAUGGUGUUUAAUAUUUGUAGAGAUUUAACAGAAUUUUUUUUACUAGAAGAUGACACCAGGAUGUUCCAGCUAACACUGAGCUAGAUAUGAAGACACAGAUGGAAUAAGAAACAAGGAUUUCUGCCCAAAGUGCUAGGAGAGAAUAGGAAUCACUGUAAUACCAUGUCUCUGUCCAGGUUUAGAAAUGGCUAAUAAGUAUCGGAGCUGUUUUCCUCAAGCUCUUAUGGGUACACAGCAAGCUUAUUCUGCUGUCCUACUGACCUUCCUUCAUGGCCAAAGCCCUGGAAGCAGGCUUGAGACUGCAUCUGCUGCCACAGAAGUUUAAUCAGCAAACCAGGACUGGUUGUGCCUCCCCUGCUCUCUCCUCAUUCGCUGUGUACUACUGAGAUUUGGAGACGUAGUACAGG
Long non-coding RNA from Pseudopipra pipra, 5693 nucleotides. RefSeq lists it as uncharacterized. NCBI's taxonomy places the organism in Eukaryota, Metazoa, Chordata, Aves, Passeriformes, Pipridae. The transcript has 2 exons. The record is from RefSeq and is a predicted model, not a curated record.